This 156-nucleotide non-coding RNA is filed under the name Rhodospirillaceae bacterium. RNAcentral describes it as "6S RNA". It matches the Rfam family "6S / SsrS RNA". Rfam says of the family: E. coli 6S RNA was the first non coding RNA to be sequenced, but its function was unknown until recently. It consists of 184 nucleotides that fold into an extended hairpin structure with a large single-stranded internal bulge. Lineage: Bacteria; Pseudomonadati; Pseudomonadota; Alphaproteobacteria; Rhodospirillales; Rhodospirillaceae. The record is from RNAcentral.
UGGGUACUGCGAGACUCGUUAGCACCGAUAUGUCCCUGGGCCAANGAUGUCCACUAGGGAGCUGUCCCUACCGGCGGUGUGCCGCCGGCACACGGCGCCCACCUGCACCAGCAGGCCACAGUGGUUCAUAGGGUCGACGGUCUUUGCGGUCCCGCC